AAAAGAAGAAAAGUAGAGGUGCUUAAGUGUUCCGAUAGUCCAGAGGAAAAUUGACUUUGUUUUUCCUAACAUUCACUGGUAAAAGUUCAAUUCUUUGUCAUCCUGGAUACCUCCAUUGUAUUAUCACUGAACGUUCUAAGUUCUAACAUACAUUAUUUAAGUGCAGUCGAACAAUUUUAGGAGCUACUAAAAUUCAGGAAAAGAACCAAAAAACUAGAUUAUGCAGGAACCAGUUUUCCGGUUCUCUCUGAUUGGUGCCACAACUGCCAAUCUUGAUCCAAUAGCAAC
This 288-nucleotide long non-coding RNA is filed under the name Solanum tuberosum (potato). RNAcentral's name for it is "long non-coding RNA (STUB_LNC006788)". Lineage: Eukaryota; Viridiplantae; Streptophyta; Magnoliopsida; Solanales; Solanaceae. The record is from RNAcentral.